GACAGAGGUGCCGAGCGUUAGGCGGAAUCACUGGGCUUAAAGCGUGUGUAGGCGGAUGCCUAAGUACCUUGUGAAAUCCCACGGCUCAACCGUGGAACUGCUGGGUAUACUGGGCGUCUUGGGCCAACUAGGGGUCGCUGGAACAAAUGGUGGAGCGGUGAAAUGCGUAGAUAUCAUUUGGAACGCCAAGGGCGAAAGCAAGCGACUGGGGUUGUGCCGACGCUGAGACACGAAAGCCAGGGGAGCGAACGGG
RNAcentral lists this ribosomal RNA (253 nucleotides) under uncultured bacterium. RNAcentral's name for it is "partial 16S ribosomal RNA". It matches the Rfam family "Bacterial small subunit ribosomal RNA", at positions 524 to 776 of the family's 1533-position model. The record is from RNAcentral.